GCGCCAGUAGCUCAAUUGGUAGAGCAGUGGACUCUUAAUCCAUUGGUUGGGGGUUCGAUUCCUCCCUGGCGCA
This 73-nucleotide transfer RNA is filed under the name Fidelibacterota bacterium. RNAcentral describes it as "tRNA-Lys". It matches the Rfam family "tRNA". From Rfam's summary of the family: Transfer RNA (tRNA) molecules are approximately 80 nucleotides in length. Their secondary structure includes four short double-helical elements and three loops (D, anti-codon, and T loops). Further hydrogen bonds mediate the characteristic L-shaped molecular structure. tRNAs have two regions of fundamental functional importance: the anti-codon, which is responsible for specific mRNA codon recognition, and the 3' end, to which the tRNAs corresponding amino acid is attached (by aminoacyl-tRNA synthetases). tRNAs cope with the degeneracy of the genetic code in two manners: having more than one tRNA (with a specific anti-codon) for a particular amino acid; and 'wobble' base-pairing, i.e. permitting non-standard base-pairing at the 3rd anti-codon position. The record is from RNAcentral. RNAcentral also lists the same sequence under 1 other name. Lineage: Bacteria; Pseudomonadati; Fidelibacterota.